UCUGGAAAGGCGCGUGAUACAGGGUGACAGCCCCGUACACAAAAAUGCACAUGCUGUGAGCUCGAUGAGUAGGGCGGGACACGUGGUAUCCUGUCUGAAUAUGGGGGGACCAUCCUCCAAGGCUAAAUACUCCUGACUGACCGAUAGUGAACCAGUACCGUGAGGGAAAGGCGAAAAGAACCCCGGCGAGGGGAGUGAAAAAGAACCUGAAACCGUGUACGUACAAGCAGUGGGAGCACGCUUAGGCGUGUGACUGCGUACCUUUUGUAUAAUGGGUCAGCGACUUAUAUUCUGUAGCAAGGUUAACCGAAUAGGGGAGCCGAAGGGAAACCGAGUCUUAACUGGGCGUUAAGUUGCAGGGUAUAGACCCGAAACCCGGUGAUCUAGCCAUGGGCAGGUUGAAGGUUGGGUAACACUAACUGGAGGACCGAACCGACUAAUGUUGAAAAAUUAGCGGAUGACUUGUGGCUGGGGGUGAAAGGCCAAUCAAACCGGGAGAUAGCUGGUUCUCCCCGAAAGCUAUUUAGGUAGCGCCUCGUGAAUUCAUCUCCGGGGGUAGAGCACUGUUUCGGCAAGGGGGUCAUCCCGACUUACCAACCCGAUGCAAACUGCGAAUACCGGAGAAUGUUAUCACGGGAGACACACGGCGGGUGCUAACGUCCGUCGUGAAGAGGGAAACAACCCAGACCGCCAGCUAAGGUCCCAAAGUCAUGGUUAAGUGGGAAACGAUGUGGGAAGGCCCAGACAGCCAGGAUGUUGGCUUAGAAGCAGCCAUCAUUUAAAGAAAGCGUAAUAGCUCACUGGUCGAGUCGGCCUGCGCGGAAGAUGUAACGGGGCUAAACCAUGCACCGAAGCUGCGGCAGCGACGCUUAUGCGUUGUUGGGUAGGGGAGCGUUCUGUAAGCCUGUGAAGGUGUACUGUGAGGUAUGCUGGAGGUAUCAGAAGUGCGAAUGCUGACAUAAGUAACGAUAAAGCGGGUGAAAAGCCCGCUCGCCGGAAGACCAAGGGUUCCUGUCCAACGUUAAUCGGGGCAGGGUGAGUCGACCCCUAAGGCGAGGCCGAAAGGCGUAGUCGAUGGGAAACAGGUU
This 1088-nucleotide ribosomal RNA is filed under the name Escherichia coli. Its description in RNAcentral is "partial 23S ribosomal RNA". It matches the Rfam family "Bacterial large subunit ribosomal RNA", at positions 341 to 1431 of the family's 2925-position model. The record is from RNAcentral. Lineage: Bacteria; Pseudomonadati; Pseudomonadota; Gammaproteobacteria; Enterobacterales; Enterobacteriaceae.